CGAGUUGUAAUUUGUAGAGGAUGCUUUUGGUGCGGCGCCUUCCGAGUUCCCUGGAACGGGACGCCGGAGAGGGUGAGAGCCCCGUACGGUUGGACGCCUAGCCUAUAUAUAGCUCCUUCGACGAGUCGAGUAGUUUGGGAAUGCUGCUCUAAAUGGGAGGUAAAUUUCUUCUAAAGCUAAAUACCGGCCAGAGACCGAUAGCGCACAAGUAGAGUGAUCGAAAGAUGAAAAGCACUUUGAAAAGAGGGUUAAAUAGCACGUGAAAUUGUUGAAAGGGAAGCGUUUGCGACCAGACCUUUUCCAGGCGGAUCAUCCGGUAUUCUUACCGGUGCACUUCGCCUGGUCUAGGCCAGCAUCGGUUUCCUUAGGGGGAUAAAGGCCGGGGGAACGUAGCUCUUCUGGAGUGUUAUAGCCCCCGGUGUAAUACCCCUCGGGGGACCGAGGACCGCGCAUCUGCAAGGAUGCUGGCGUAAUGGUCGUCAACGACCCGUCUUGAAACACGGACCAAGGAGUCGAACAUUUGUGCGAGUGUUUGGGUGUUAAACCCUCACGCGUAAUGAAAGUGAACGGAGGUGAGAGCCCUUACGGGCGCAUCAUCGACCGAUCCUGAUGUCUUCGGAUGGAUUUGAGUAAGAGCAUAACUGUUCGGACCCGAAAGAUGGUGAACUAUGCGUGGAUAGGGUGAAGCCAGAGGAAACUCUGGUGGAGGCUCGCAGCGGUUCUGACGUGCAAAUCGAUCGUCAAAUCUGCGCAUGGGGGCGAAAGACUAAUCGAACCAUCUAGUAGCUGGUUACCGCCGAAGUUUCCCUCAGGAUAGCAGUGUUGUCUUCAGUUUUAUGAGGUAAAGCGAAUGAUUAGGGACUC
Molecule: ribosomal RNA, 864 nt
Filed under: Hypoxylon olivaceopigmentum
Lineage: Eukaryota; Fungi; Ascomycota; Sordariomycetes; Xylariales; Hypoxylaceae
Description: partial large subunit ribosomal RNA
Rfam family: Eukaryotic large subunit ribosomal RNA
Source: RNAcentral